Molecule: ribosomal RNA, 495 nt
Filed under: uncultured bacterium
Lineage: Bacteria
Description: bacterial SSU rRNA
Rfam family: Bacterial small subunit ribosomal RNA
Source: RNAcentral
AAAUGAAUAGACGGGGACCCGCACAAGCGGUGGAGCAUGUGGUUUAAUUCGAAGCAACGCGAAGAACCUUACCAGGUCUUGACAUCCCUUCGACCGGUCCAUAACGGGACCUUCCCUUCGGGGCGAAGGAGACAGGUGGUGCAUGGUUGUCGUCAGCUCGUGUCGUGAGAUGUUGGGUUAAGUCCCACAACGAGCGCAACCCCUAUUCUUAGUAGCCAGCAGGUUAAGCUGGGCACUCUAGGAAGACUGCCAGGGAUAACCUGGAGGAAGGCGGGGACGACGUCAAAUCAUCAUGCCCCUUAUGAUCUGGGCUACACACGUGCUACAAUGGUGGCUACAAAGAGAAGCGAGCUUGUGAAAGUAAGCAAAGCUCAAAAAGGCCAUCCCAGUUCGGAUUGUAGUCUGCAACUCGACUACAUGAAGCUGGAAUCGCUAGUAAUCGCGAAUCAGAAUGUCGCGGUGAAUACGUUCCCGGGUCUUGUACACACCGCCCGU